RNAcentral lists this ribosomal RNA (459 nucleotides) under uncultured bacterium. Its description in RNAcentral is "partial 16S ribosomal RNA". It matches the Rfam family "Bacterial small subunit ribosomal RNA", at positions 338 to 795 of the family's 1533-position model. The record is from RNAcentral.
CCUACGGGUGGCAGCAGUGAGGAAUAUUGGUCAAUGGGCGAGAGCCUGAACCAGCCAAGUCGCGUGAGGGAAGACGGUCCUAUGGAUUGUAAACCUCUUUUACCGGGGAGCAAAAAGCGGUACGUGUACCGCAUCGAGAGUACCCGGAGAAAAAGCAUCGGCUAACUCCGUGCCAGCAGCCGCGGUAAUACGGAGGAUGCGAGCGUUAUCCGGAUUUAUUGGGUUUAAAGGGUGCGCAGGCGGCGAGUUAAGUCAGCGGUAAAAUUUCGGGGCUCAACCCCGACAAGCCGUUGAAACUGGCUUGCUAGAGUGGGCGAGAAGUAUGCGGAAUGCGUGGUGUAGCGGUGAAAUGCAUAGAUAUCACGCAGAACUCCGAUUGCGAAGGCAGCGUACCGGCUCCACACUGACGCUGAGGCACGAAAGCGUGGGUAUCGAACAGGAUUAGAUACCCCAGUAGUC